GGAACUCUGGCCGAGUGGUUAAGGCGAUUGAUUAGAAUUUGAUUAUCAAUUGGGUUCGCCCGCAUGAGUUCGAAUCUCAUGGGUUCCU
Transfer RNA from Kockovaella imperatae, 88 nucleotides. It matches the Rfam family "tRNA". From Rfam's summary of the family: Transfer RNA (tRNA) molecules are approximately 80 nucleotides in length. Their secondary structure includes four short double-helical elements and three loops (D, anti-codon, and T loops). NCBI's taxonomy places the organism in Eukaryota, Fungi, Basidiomycota, Tremellomycetes, Tremellales, Cuniculitremaceae. The record is from Rfam.